CAUCCACCAGAGGGAAUCACACACUGUUCACGACAAUCAAAGUUGUUGAGAGAUCCUCCAGAGAUGAUAAAGAGGAAGGACCAAUGAAGUGAAGGCCCAGAUCCAUCAGAGUAUCAAUGCUCUUCCUCUCUCUCCUCCCCUCUCACUGCAGACAUGAAACACUGGCUGACUAACAUCCUGAUUCUGACUCUCUGUCUAGAGUGUAAAGGAGAAGACAGAGUAAUCCAGCCAUCAGAAGAUUUCAUUACUACUGAAGGAGAGACAGUUACUCUUGACUGUACAUUUGAGACCAGUGACACAUAUCCCUAUUUGUUCUGGUACAAACAAGAAGUAAAUGAUUUCCCAAAGUAUAUGCUGAAGCGUUACUCAAACACAAAAGAAAAUGCUCCAGAGUUCCAGAAAGAAAGAUUUGAUGCUACAAUCAACCAGACAGUUCCUCUGAAGAUCCAGAAGCUUCAGCUGUCUGACUCUGCUGUGUACUACUGUGCUCUGCAGCCCACAGUGACAGGAAAC
Molecule: non-coding RNA, 513 nt
Organism: Perca flavescens (yellow perch)
Lineage: Eukaryota; Metazoa; Chordata; Actinopteri; Perciformes; Percidae
Source: the annotation of a RefSeq genome assembly